This 24005-nucleotide long non-coding RNA is filed under the name Triticum aestivum (bread wheat). RNAcentral describes it as "long non-coding RNA (TAES_LNC014034)". The record is from RNAcentral. Lineage: Eukaryota; Viridiplantae; Streptophyta; Magnoliopsida; Poales; Poaceae.
UUUGUGCAGUGGAUUGUUGAUAAUGUGGACACACAAGCAGAAGCAACUGUUUUGAACAAGAGCAUUCCACUCAAUGCUCAGUCAGUAGAGUUUGUGUUGGGGAUUCCUUCAGGGUUUUAACUGACAGAGAGAACGUACAACUGGGAGGAGCAAAAGUUUUCCUGUCGUUUAGCUAUACAUGGAUUUUUUUGCUUUUUUGUUGUGUGUUUGUUGCGUCCAUGGACAGAGUCACAGGUACAACGGGCCAAACAGACAGCAAAAACAAAAGGAAACAAACAAACAAGCAAGCCCACACCACAAGCCCAUCACGGGGAAAUAAAACCCAUCAGGAAGGGAUGCUAAGCAGGCCUAAUCUGUCAGGGGUGAUGUCAGCCGACUGAGACUUCACGAAGUGUCAGUCGACUGAGACCUAGACAGUCCCUUACCAAUAAAUCAUUGGUAGCAACAAAUUCAAACAGAUUAUAGGUCGGCAUAUCUGAUAGUAUCAACUCGGCAAUAGUCUUCGACAUCGAUCUAUACUUAAUUACCAAAGUGAGUCAACUAAAGUCUGGUUAUUAUUUUAUGCAUGAAAUAAAUUGAAAACGUGAUGAGCUUAUUUGCUAACUACUCUUAAUUAAGACUUAAGCGUGGUGCUAAACAAGUUCGUAACACCAGGGGUGUUACAAUGAAUAUUCCUCAAUGGACACAAACGGGACGAGCAUCAAGAGAUGUGGAUGAAGUCCACGAGGAGGAUAGUCUUGCUACGGCGAUACAGCAAGCAAUGAUCGUCCAGAUCUAAUCUAGCUUGGACCGUGGUGAUGUCGGCACUAUAGGGGUGGGCUUGCUCGAUGCCCGCGGUUUCGGUGAUGAUAUUGUCGCGGAUGCGUGCCAGCUUCUCCUUGAGGGCAAGCCGUUCCAUGCGCGGAUCGACGAUUUCCUGGUUGAUGUUCUUCCUUUUCAUGCUGGAGAGACCUGGUUAUGUAGUGUUCUGAUCGUAAGGGGAAAAAUUCAUGAAUUUCUUUUCCCAACUGGCGAGGGCGGCAUGGAUGUCCUCCAUGUGGUAGAUCGUAACGUGGCUCCGAGUACCAGAUGUAAUAAGCGUGUCGACGAUAAUGCUAUUUUCCUGCUGACUAGUGGUUUGCAACAGGCGCGUACGAUCGUUGUCGCUGUCAUCCGAAUGUCGAUGUCUCCUACUCCCACCGAACGGUCGCUAUCGCUGUUGUUUUGCUUUUUUUUUUAUUUUCCUUUCCCGAUCGGAAGGAUGAUGUACGUUGUUUUUUUUUCUCACGUAUACUGAUCAUCACUGAAGGUCGCUGUCGUUGCUGUUUUUUUUCGUUUUUUCUUCCAGAUCCAAAGGAUGAUGCCUGCUGUUUUUUUCUCACGUAAUAAUCGUUAGUUUCAGCGAGUAAAAAAUGAUGUGGACAAUAGGAUUCGAACCCCAGGCCGGUUGAUGCAUGGUUGUAUGAUGCCAAUAACCAACACGCCUAAUACUACUUGCUAUGUUAUGAAUGGUACCCAUGUGACCUUUUUAAAGACCAUGGCAGGAAAUGGAAAACGGUUUUUUUGUUGUUUGUCGGCCUUCUCUUGUAUUUCAUCCACUCUAAGAUGAGUGACUCGACUUUGUACUAACUUUGUACAAAGGAAGUACAUCAUUUCCUACUACAUUAUAAGUUGUGUAAUAUCACAGAUGUGAUAUUUUUAUGUACCCUGCUCCUGGUAACUUUGCCGGCGCGAGGGGAGGGUGAUCAAAUAUUCUCCAAUAAUUUUUUGUUAAUAGCAUGGUAACUCACACAUCACAGACCCAAUAACUUAUGCACCCUAGUCCUGGUAUGUUUCGCGAGGGACAAGUGAUGAAAUAUACCCCUCGUAAAUUUUAUGUGCGUAGCACGGUAACUCACACAUCGUAGACCUAAUAACUAAUGUACCGCAGUUUUGACAAAUUUGGCAACUAGAUGGGAGGAGGAGGUGGUUGAUGAAAUAUACCUUUGAUAAUUUUUUGUGUGAAUAACAUGAUAAUUCACAUAUCGCAUACCUAAUAACUUAUGUGCCCUAGUCCUGAUAAAUUUGGUGACGGUGGCGAGGGGUGGGGGAGGGUUGUUGAUGAAAUAUACCUCCGGUAACUUUUUUGUUUGUAGCAUGGUAACUCACACAUCAUAGACCUGAUAACUUAUGCACCCGGUCCUGGUACUUUUCGGGAGGGACGGGUGAUGAAAUAUACCCCCCCGGUAACUUUUAUGUGCAUAGCACGGUAACUCACACAUCGUAGGCAGAAUAACUAAUUUACCCCGGUCUUGGUAAAUUUGGUGACCGGGUGGGAGGCGGGUGGUUGAUGAAAAAUAAUCUUGAUAACUUUUUGUAUGAAUAACAUGAUAACUCACACAUCGCAUACCCGAUAACUUAUGUGCCCUAGUCCUGAUAACUUUGGUGACCGGGUGAGAGGAGGGUGGUUGAUGAAAUAUACCCUUUGGUAACUUUUCGUAUGAAUAACAUGAUAACUCACACAUCGCAUACCUGAUAACUUAUGUGCCCCAGUCCUGAUAACUUUGGCGGCGGUGGUGAGAUGUGGGGGAGGGUUGUUGAUGAAAUAUACCUUUGGUAACUUUUUUUAUCAAUAACAUGAUAACUCACACUUCAUAGACCUGAUAGCUUAGGUAUAAACAACACGGUAACUUUAGACCCGAAUAAAAAGUUAUUGAAACAUACCCCGAUUAUUUUCUGCGCUAAUAGCGCGGUAAUGUAUGCAUCCAGAGCUGAUAACUUAGGUAUAAAUACCACGGUAAAUUUAACCCAGAGGAAAGAAGUCGUUCAAAACACAUCUCCGAUCACUUCUGCAUAAAUAACAUGUUAGUAUACAUAUAACAUAAAUGAUAACUUUACGGUAAUUUUUGACCAAAAAAGUGAUCAAAACAUGCCAACAUAAGAUCAAGUUUCGAAGUUCUCAUGGCGAUGGAUUUUUUAUGUGAAAAUGAUUUUUGAAUAAAAAACGAUAGUUUGAGCUAUAGAACAUUUUACGGUUUCAAAAUAGCGAGAAUUUACAAUGACAUUAGGUUUCUGUGCUCUACUGCAUUUGCAUGUGGAGAGAAUGUUAGAGGAGCCAUUUUUAUGCCCCGGAUAAUUUCUAUGUAAACAGGAUGGUAACUGGCGUACCACAUAGGUGAUAACUUAUUUAGUCUAACUCUAGUAACUUUUAACCCGAAAAAAAUGUCAUUGAAACAUACGAACAUGUGAUCUAGUUUUGAAGGUCUCAUUGCAACGAAUCUUUUAUGUGAAAACGGUUUUUCAAUCGAGCCAACGAUUUGAGCUACAAAACAUUUUGAAGUUUAUUUUGAAUGAAAUCUUUGCCGACAUCAUCUUCUUACUUAUCUACAUGCAUGCAUUGUUAAUGAAUGCUGCUACACACACGACAUAUGUUGGACGACUUGCAGACGACAGUGCAUAUCAAGUCGUCCAUGCGUCAGGUAAAAGUUGAUAGAGCCGUUCAAUCUUGCAUCGUGCAUAGUUCGGCUGGCGCUCGUCGUCUGCCUAGUAGUUUCGUUGUUAAUUGGGUCAAAUAAGACAUGCACUCCAUGCAAAUCAAAGAUAUGUGCAUGCGAGAUUGCAGCGCAACACUGCAUGCGAAAUUGCACCGAGAUGUGAGGAUGUAGGCAAUCGUCCGCAUCUGUCGCUAAAAUCCUGCCAUCUUGGUAAAGCUGGAAGAUCAUCUUUUUAUGCUCGGUAUUUCCUAGGAAAAUAGCUUGGUAACUGUGUGUCACCGUCGUGAUAACUUACAUAGCACAUGUGUUGUAACUUUUGAUCCAGAAAAUAAAUUCGUCGGAACAUAUCAACAUGGGAUCUAUUUUUGAAGGUUUUGUCGCGACGAAUCUUUUAUGUGAAAACAGUUUUUCAGUUGGAGGGACGGUUUGACCUACAAAACAUUUGAAAGUUUAAAAUUUGAUGAAAUCUUCAGUGACAUAAGCAGUUUUGUCCUAUAUACAUGCAUGCAGCUAUUGGGGAAAAUAUUAGAAUGGAUGUAUUUGUUUUUUAUUGAAAAAGAAAAUCAACACAUGACAACACCAGCCCGAGCGACAAUACCUUCGUCCGAUCGUCCGGAUCUCUUGCUAUGGUCCGGACGUCUGGACGUCCGGAAUUACCAACUGAUUUUAUCCAUUGGAUUCAUUAGAACAAAUAAAAGACCCAUAUUGAUUUAACGAGAAUGCUAAUUUCCAGUCGGCAGGAAAUCUGCAACAAAUCCACACGACCUGCGAGCCGUCGGAUAUUCAUCGCACGCAAGCAUCUCUCUCUGCGACUCCCGAUUUUCAGGUGCCUAAUUAACUCCGUUAAUCUCCCUGAUUCCUGAUUUUCAGGUGGUGCGUAAGUAACUUGCCUUAAUCUCUCUGACUCCCGCCGAUUCUCAGGUGCGUAUUUAACUCGCGUUAAUCUCUCUGAUUCCCGAUUUUUCAGGUGGUGAGUAAUUAACUCGCGUUAAUUUUUCUCGGCAAAAAAUAGUGUGCCAACAGGAUUCGAUCCUUGUACCUUUUACCAGGUAACCCACUAACCAACCACCUCACCUAUGUUCCUUUCUCAUAAAAAUGAAAGCAAAUAGGCUUUUUAACUUGUCUCUUUUUCUAUGUUUGCACAAAAGUGAAUGCAAUAUCCGAUCUUUUUCCGCACUUGAGUAGAUUAUUUUACCAACUCGUCUCGAGUUGAUGACACCAUGGUAAUUUUCGCGGGGGAGGUUGAUGAAAUAUACCAUUGGUAAUUUUUGUGUGUAUAGCAUGGUAACUCACACAUCACAUACCUGAUAACUUAUGUACUCGGUACUGAUUACUUUGGUGAUCGGGAGGGAGGCGUUGAUGAAAUAUUCCGGGUCACCUUUGUGUGAAUAUCAUGAUAACUCACACAUCACAUACCUGAUAAACUUAUGCACCUCGAUCCUGGUAACUUUGAGGGAAGUGGUGUUGAUGAAAUAUCCCCAGUUACUCUGAUGUGAACAACAUGGUAACUCAGACAUCAGAGACCCGAUAACUUAUGCACCCCGGUCCUGGUAACUUUGGCGAGAAGGAGUGCUGAAAUAUACCCCCAAUAAUUUAGGCAUCGCAAACAUGAUAACUUUUCCCUCCGCUGGAGGGAGGGGUUUUGAUGAAAUAUACCUUGGAUAACUUCUGUGCAAACAUGAUGAUAGUUUACACAUUACUGUCUUGAUAACUUCUAUGCAAAUAAUAUGAUAACUCAUACAUCGUAGACAUGAUAAAUUAUGUACCCAGUCCUGGUAAAUUUGUCGGCGGGGGUAGGGGUGGGGGAGUCGUUGAAACAUACCACGGUAACUUCUAUGCAAAUAACAUGAUAAAUCACACAUCAUAGACAUGAUAAAUUAUGUACCCAGUCCUGGUAACUUUGUCGGUGGGGGUAGGGGUGGGAGGAGUUGUUGAACCAUACCACGAUAACUCUUAUGUCUACUAUUAAUCUCUACUAUUAAAGGAGAAUCGAACGUCGUGAUGGUUCGACCUCAAACCAUCUCGCGAUGCCCUCGUUCCCUCCAUCCCGCGAUUGCCUCGUUCCCUCCACCCCGUCCUCCUCAUAAUCCUGCUCUACCCACGCACAAUAAAAGAAAAGAAAAAAAGCCACAAUCAAGAACCCACCUCCCACGCCCAAUGCCCAACCCCCUCGCUCCUCCCAAUCCCAUAUCUCUCCCACGCCCAAUGCCCAACCCCCUCGCUCCUCCCAAUCCCAUAUCUCUCCAGAUCUCGAUCUCGGUCCUGCUCCACCACGCGCCCGCCUCCUCCCAUGACUGUGGCCCGACUUCUCCUCCUCCUCCCUCACAAUCGACGUCCCCGCCGUGCCAGCAUAGGCGCCGACGCCGGCGACUCCGGCGCCCACGCUCCUAGCACUCGAGCACCGCCCAUGCAUAGACGCUGCUGUCAGCUGCGUCACCGAGGUCGAGGCCAUCGAAUCAACCCUUGCCCUCGCCUGCGUCAGUGGCUCCGCCCAUCUCGAUGUGAUCUGUUACUCCAUCUCGAACAUCGGACUCAUCUCUAGCGAGUACGGCCUCGGUGCGGACGCUGCGGCGGACAACAAUAGUGCUGGCUAAUCGCUAGCUCGUUCGAGUUAUUGGUCGACGUCGUCCUGCCGCCUCUCUUUGUGUCGGCGCCCACGCCGCACUCCGCACUCUGCAUGUUCUUCGAAAAAGGCAAGGAUAAACACUGAUUUUCACCCCCUCCAGCAGCAAGGUUGUCAUCCCCUCUAUCUCUCAUCUUUUUUUACAUCCUUGUCAUAAUGCUGCUCUGUGUUGCUGUUGUUGCAUGAAUGAAGUGACAUGAUGUUGUUGUAUGAAUAAAAGUGAGGUGUUGAUUUUUGAAUAAAAUUGACUUGUUUGCAGAUUCUUGUAUGGGCAGAAGAAAGAUAGGAUUGACCUUUUGCACUAACAGUUGUAUGGAUGUCGAUGGCUGUCACCGAUCAAAGGAGGGUGACGCCAUACAUUGUGGAGAUGCUGCACUCAACCGACAGCGAGCUCCAAGUCAAGACAGUGUGGCAACCGACGAGCAGAGUCUCCUUGUUGAGGAGGUCCUGUACAUUCCUGCCCUCGCAAGAACCUGCACUGGUUUGAUUUGGUCCAAUUCCAUUUGAUUAGUUGUGGUCGUGCUGAAUUCUCAGAUUCAACAUUUGUUUGGCAGGUCUUUACUCCAGUGGAGUCACUGAGAUAUAAGUAGGACAGGAAGAAAAAGAACGUCAUUAUAUUCAGGUCGAGUGGUAAAUGCUUACAUAUGUUCUUGAUCCCCAGAUAUAACUUGCUUCUAUAUGUACUUUUCUUGUUGGUGAACAUAUAUAACUAGAGAAAAUAUUUUGUGUGGUUUUAACAUGUUCUAAUUGUGAAAAUCCAUAAUUUGAUACCCAUCUUUUAUUUGUGUUUCGAUGCUCAUAUUGCAUGGUUCAGAGACUUCUUCAACAUUACAGAAAGGUGGAGUAAAUACUUUUGUUACAGAAUUCUAGGCAUUAGUUAAAACAGUAAUGAAGUCAAGAAGAAGUGAGAGCAGCUUUUGAUGUUUGUUCGCUAUGGUCUUCUUCAAUUUUCGUAAGGGCAUUUGCUGCCAUCUAACACAGGAGCGGGAGUGGUAGGACCGCAUGAGGCGGGAAGUGCCCGGCCAUUGGGGAUCCGGACGAGGUCGCCAACAAGAUCACCUCGUCCUCGACUGUAGAUUAUCCACCUCUGAACCUCCCGCCGUUCCAGUUGCUUUAGUUCAGUCCCCAUAUUUCUUGUGGAUAUCUAUUACAUAAUUGACAAUGACAGCCAGAAGCUCACUCUUGGGCAUCAUCUCAGAUACCUGCGCCAUCCAUACCAACUACAUAAGAUCAGGGCUCCUCUGCUUGAACACUUCACCUCCCUUUCCUUCCCGUUCCUUCAACGAGGCAACUAUAAGUACUCUAUGAGUAUCAUUUCCAGUUUGCCGAUGAUUGUUGUCUUACUUGAGAUUUAGCGGCUUGUUCCUUGUAGGAUAUCUUACUCUCAGAUGUCGCUAGCCAUUGCCUUGCUUCUGCAACACUUCAACCAAUUGUUGAUUAUUGUCAACAUUGGGAGGAUCACUUAGUUGUACAGUUUGUUGCACAAUUUUAUGGUAAAGAUGUAAAACAAUUCUAAUGUUACCAUCAAGUAAUCAGUUUUAUCUUGAUUGUGGAGGUCGCCCAUUUUGUAGAAGAUUCUCUAUUGUAUUCACCUUUUGUGCAUAAAAAUAGAUUAUGGCUUUUAUGAUUGACAUUCCAGACUCUUAUCUUCAGUGCAUUUGGACUUUGGAGUCUUGUGGCAUAUCAGCAUUCAGCAGUGUUCAACUCACUUGUGUUCUUAAAACUCAUAUUAUCGACAGAUAUAUAUGAAGUUAUUGUCAUGUGUGCACAUACAUCCCUAACUGAAAUUAUCCUAAUACGGUAGUUAUCUUUCCUUCCAAGUUAGUUCUGGAGUUUUCUGUCUGCACUGAAAUAUCUCAGGUCUACAAUUGGUUUUUGUUUUGUUUUUCCGAGAAUGCCUACCAUUAUUUUAGUUAUUGUGUGCAUCAAUUCUAACUAAAUGUUGCAGGAAUCAAAACUAUCUUCGGUGGUCACAUCAUUGCUGGGACCUACGGUGAGAAACUAAUUGUUGGGGUCUAUGAUAGCACCAACAUGGUCGUGCAGGAGUUGCCUUCUAGGGCCUUGCUAAUAUACCAGAGCUCUGUUGUUAGCUUAGUCUUUCAUUGGGUCACCAAGAUCUGUCAUGAAUUUCUUCAUUGAUAAUAACUAGGCCCUAAUGGCACUUACAUGGAUGAUUCCUUUGUUGGCUGCACUGGAGAUGGAUGAGGUUGUAAAAUGAGGGGCUCCUGAUGAUGAUAUGCUUGCUGGCUGAAUGAUCAUGUACCAUGUCAGUUUGUUCUUACAGAUUUCAUGUGCCUUUUCUAAGCUUCUUUGUUUUGGUGUGCAAGUAUCUUGAAAUAUAAAGCAACUGGUUGGCCAGGGUUGUCUGCCACUAAUAAGAAUUUUUAUGGACAUGCAUGUAAAAGAAAAGUAGUGGUUAUGAAUAUAAAACAAAUUAUAGUACCUUCGUUGUAAAUUGUAAGAUGUUUUGGAUAUUUUAAUAUGGACUACAUACACAGUGGACUGAAUGAACAAGCACACUAAAAUGCGUCGACAUACAUCCGAAUCAGAAAAACACUAGAACAUCUUAUAAUUUGAAACAGAGGGAAUAUUAAGCAAAUGUUCUUCUAUUCCUGAGUAUUGUUUGUUUGUUGUGGACCUUGCAUGGCCUAUUGAUGUGGUGAAAAUUCUCUAAUAUACCUUCUCCCGUUUACUAUAUAUGCCUGUUUGUUGAUUCUGUAAUAAUAUAUGCUAAAGGUGCACGGUACAGCUAAUAUUUCUUUUUUCUUUUUAUCUUCUGCCCAUGAUGAUAUGCAGGCAUACAUAGGGUAAGGUGUCACCUUAAAUGGAAGCUAAGCGCAAGGUCAUAUUUUUUGUAAUAUAAAAAUAAGCCAAUACAAACUAUUCAAAUAAAUAAAUAAAACCAGGACACUUGCUUUGUGGAUUACAAGAUGAUUAUACAACUAUCUCUGUGUCGUAAAAAUAUCUUUAUGCCUAAACUUAUUAUUAUGAGGCAGUGUACAAGCAUUGUUUCUGGACGCCAAUAUCUCUCAAGCCAUAUGAGAUUUGAGCAAGAGCAUGUUAGGCCAAUAUCUCUCAUGGAUUGGGCUCUUUCAGUGAUGGGUUUUUAGGGCUAUGGAAGAGCAAUUCUAUGACCAUAUGGUCAAACAACGAAGGAGUACAAGGGGGUGAUCACGUGUCCGCGAUGGCGGCGAGACAACUCGCGAGGUUGGAUUUGUGUAGGCGUGCAGUAAGGAUGGUGAGCAACAAGUAAAAUUGAUGAUCCGUGGCAACGCACGGGUAUUUAGCUAGUGCAAAUAACAUGAUAACUCACACAUCGCAGACUUGAUAACUUAUGUACCUGAUCCUGGUAAAUAUGGCGAGUGUGGCGAGGGGGGUGAUGCCCCGCUAAUUUCUGUGUAAAUAACAUGAUAAUAAAAACAUACAAAAUUGAUCACUCCCAUACAAACGCCACUGUAACUUUUGACCUGAAACUUUUUUGUUGAAAAACAUACAUCCAAUAAUUUCUGUGUAAAUAACAUGAUGAUGUAUCAUCGCAGACUUGAUAACUAAUAUUUUACAUUUAAACACCAUGGUGUCUUUCAUUCAAGGGAAAAAAGUUUUUAAAACAUUUCACCGGUAAUUUCUAUGUUAAAUUACCAUACUUCCCCAUGCUUUUAACUUUCUCGUACUGUAGUUACCAGCCUUAUCAUGGUAUAGUUAUCAUGUUGCUCAGACCAUAGUUAUCACGCUGGUCAUUGCCAAAGUUACCAAACCAAACUUUAUUUUUUCUUCUGAUAUGGCAGAAAUAAGAAAGGUUCAAAUAACAUUGUCAUUCUACAAUAGACAACAACAAAAGGUGGUUUAGUUGGUUAUUAGGCUCGAUAGGUAUUACAUAGACCUGGGUUCAAAUCCUCUUUCAAGCACUUUUAUUUUCUUUUCAUAUUAUGUAGCGAAAAAACAGAAAAAACCACUAGCAAUUUACUACGGUGAAAAACCAGAAAAAACUACUAGCAAUUUACUAAGGUUUUUGAGAGAAAGAAAAAAAUCAGUGAAAGUGAGCGAACGACCAGUCGACUGAUCGUUAGCACAGUCCUUAUAUUUAUAGUUCUAAGAGACUUAGCCCCUAAGCAACCUCGGAGUCCUUAUAGGAUUUGGAUUUUCCUUCCUAACAAAACAAACUCAAUCUCUUAACUAUUUCCUAAUCUAACAAGACUCGAUAAGACAGCUUGACGGCUGCGGCUGCGGCACUGAUGGUGCCCUGCCGGCCCUCCUGGGCCCUUGCUGGAUCGUAUGUAUGACAAAGGGCUUUGCCAAAUUUAUUAAUAAAAGAGAGAGAAAAGAUAUCUCAUGAUCAAGAGGUGUCAUGCACAUAUUCUAAAAUCAUGUGAGGUUGUCACGUACUAACGUGAGGCUAUAUCUCCACACUAUGAGUUAUAUGCUAAAAUUUAAUACUAUUAAAAAAUAAUUCAUAUUGUAUAUAUAUGAGCUACACUAGUAGAAAACACGGCUUUGGUUCGGUCCUGGCCAGCCCAUUAGUCCCGAUUCAGUUAUGAACCAGGACCCAUGGGGCAUAUGUCCCGGUUCAUGAGCCCAGGAGGCCGGCCGGAGCCUCGUGGGCACUGGUCCCGGUUAGUCUGGACCCAUUUGUCCCGGUUCCUGGCACGAACCGGGACCAAUGGGCCUCGCUUCUGGCCCACCUACAUUUGUCUCGGUUCGUGGCAGAAGAGGGGGCUUUAAUCCCGGUUCCAGCCAUGAACUGGGACAAAUGAGUUGCCUAUAUAUACCUCAUCGCCGCCGCAGAGCACUCCACAGUGCUCUAUUUUUUCUGGCCGGUAAGGGGAGGGCAUUUGGGUGCUCUAGCUCACCUCCUAUGAACAUGAGGUGUUCGAUGAAAUGCCCAAGCCACACUAGUUAAGCUUUCUCCUCUUGAAGCUCGACCUCCAAGCUCCAUUUUUCCCCGAGAUUUUCAUAGGUUUAGCGGUCUGUCACGUCAUGUCCCCGUCUUCACCGCCGUCGAUCUCCCGCGCCGAUCUCGUCGCCGGCACCACCGUGAUGAGCCUAUUUUUCUUAUCUUCUUUCUGAAAGAAAAGAAUCCUUACUUUAGAUAGAUACUUGUCUAAUUUUCUUACUUUUAUUAUUGCUUGUCAAUGAGAACUAUGUAUGUACAUUGGUUUUAAUGUGAUGAUGAACUUCUAUUAAUUUGGUCACUUAUCUAUUUAUGAUAUUUUGUAAUGAUUUUAGACACACUUAAUUAUAUAUAAUGCACGCAGAUGAACCGGCAAUGGAUGUAUGGUGACAGACAAACCUCUAAAUACGUUCAGGGCAUGCAUAAUUUUCUCGAAGUGGCUGACGCAAACAAUGCAACACGGCAGGAGAGGACAAGCGCGACAGCUCGCGUGCUCGGUGCAGCGUGCGCUUGCAUGCAUGUGCCUCUGUGCAUGUGUGGCUGCUUGUGUAUUGGCUGUGUGCGAGCACAGGAACGCACUACAGAUUCGGAUUCCAACAUGCGUAGAAAAAAUACCUUUCACUUCUUUUGAUCUCCAUCUUUGAUUAAAGGAGACUAGUCGACUAGGAGACAAACAUACUGAGAGCUUACAGUGCCCGUGUGUCGUGGAUUUGUCACGGCAGAUGUCCUUAGUGUCAGGACUUAGUCGCGAGGUCAACGCAUCUAUGUGGUAGCUUGAGAGGGGUUGAGCGGAAUCGAGAGACGCAACACAAGACAGGGAUUUAGACAGCUUCGGGCCCCGGGAAACAUCAUCCGGUAAAAACCCUACAUGCUGUUUGAGGCUAGGUCUCAUUAUCAUCACGAGGGAGUCGCCGUAAACCGGCUCUCCUCUUUGUGUCUAGCCCUAGAUUGUUUCUUGUUGCUUGUAGCUUGUCCUUUCUAACCUGUCCCUCUUUGGGGAGCCCUGCCCCUCCUUAUAUAUGUUGAAGGGGCGGGUUACAUAUGGAGUCCUAUUAGGAUAAGGACUAAUCUAUCUCUAAUACAAACCGGAUACAAGUCCGGGUCUUCCUUGUAAGGUAAAUAUUCCUCCUGCCUUUCCUCUUAAACUGGCCCACCAUAGUAUGAACCGGCCUUCUGGGCCAUGGGCCUCGUCAUCCAUCUGACCCGCCCGCCGGGUUACUGAUGAACCGCCAAGACCGGGCGGGUAGCCGGUGAAUCAUCCAGUCCUGGCCGGUUUAUACUCCCGGCCGAUUUACGCCACGGGGUAUAUCCCCGACAUUAGCCCCCAGUUUAAUUUGGAUUUAUCCAUGUUAAACUGAUCCUGUAAAACAAAUACAAGAACAAAUUUGAUAGACUAUGCUCCUGGUUAAGAAUUCUUGUAAACUGGCAUCUGAUCAUUCUGAAGUCCUUGUCAUUUCCUUCUUCUAGAAAAUCCGGAUCAAUAACCAGCUUCAUACUCAAAUUGUUGAUGUUGGCUUCUUAUAAAAAAUAUUGUGAAGAAUAAUCCACUUGAGUCGGCUUCCAGAGCGCCGGUUUGAAGAUGUAGAACUUGCCGGUUUAUGAUUACCACCAUUGUCUGGUUAUAAAAACUGAUAAUUCCGGGUCAUGAUUGUUCCCAACGCCGGUUUAAUCUGGUUUACUCCAAACUGAAAAUUUGGAAGAUACUUCUCCCUUAUAUCCAUAUUACCUGUAGCCCCAAGUCUUGAACAAAACAAAGUUAUGGUUUAAGAAUUGCUUCAAUAUCAAUACUGCCACUUUUGAAGAAAUCCAUGUUGUUCAUCCCAGUCACUAGUAAAAACUGAACACUCCAUGUUAUGUAGCCCCCAAGUGCCGGGUUGUCAUGCUUGCAGCAACCUGGGACUUGCAAUUGUCUUAUACUCAUAAAAACUUCAACCAGUGUAGCCCCCAAGAGCCGGGUCAUUAUGCAAUAAUGAGCAGGGACUUUGUAGGUAUAAUCAUGUAGAUUUGAGCAAUGAUGUGUAGCCCCCAAGGGCCGGCUCAGUAAGAUAAUAUUGAGCUGGGACUUUAAUAUAUAUAAUUCAAUGAAAAUAACAUCAUAUGAUGUAACCCUCAUCAUGGGACUUGAAUCCACGUCCACAAGGUUAAGAGCCUUGUGCUUUACCAACUGAGCAGUGGACUCUUCAAUAUAAUGAAUAAAAAGCUUUGUACCUUCAACUGUUGACAGGAGCAAUUGGUAGCCCCCAAGGGCCGAUUCAUUAUAAUGUGAUGAGUCGGGUCUUCAAUAAUAUGAGCAGAAAAUUACUUUGCAUUAGCCCCCAAGUGCCAUGGUGCAUGCUUGCAGCGACAUGAGACUUGCAUGUAAUCUCAAUUUGAAUAAUGUAGCCCCCAAGUGUCGGGUCGUGUGCCUGCAGCGACUCGGAACUAUUCCUUCCAUUGUAGAAUAAAUCAUAUCCUUUGAUAAAAUAAUAACUGUUGCGCUAAAGCGACUUUGAAAACUCAAAAAUACCGGUUACUAAUAACCAUAAAAAUCCAGCCAUGUUGGCUAUUCAAGAUAAUAUAAUCCGGUAUGAAAAAAUUCAUCCAAUAUCAUAAUGAAAAUUCAGCCAAAUUUGGCUAUUUGAAUAAUAUAACCCAAUCAUUUAUAAGCGCAUGAUUUCAAUGGCGCAAUCCAAAUAUAUACUGGCGACGUAUAGUCCAAAGCCAGGCCGGUGUAAUAAACUCGAAUAAUUUCCCAUCAUAUACUGGCGACUUAUCGUCUUAAAGCCAGGCCGGUUUAAUAAACACCGGAUAAUUUAUCAUCAUGCUUUAUUCAACCUGUCUCUGCAUACAACAAGUUUAAAGUGUCCUGGCAGUUUACCGCCGGACGGGUCAUAAUGCCCAACAUAUAACCCAGGUUUAUAACCAAGGCUGCACUUAAGAAUAAUCAAUGAAAUAUAUCAUACCUGUGAUAUUGAAUCACAUCAUUGGUUUACCAAUUUUUUGUAGUAAGAGUGAUAACCCCAAUCUUGAGUAAUGAUAACUCCUUUCAUACUGUGCCGGUUGAUGAUAAACCGUACCGGAUUGUGAUAAACACCGGUUUAACCAUAUAUAAUACUGGCGACUCGUAGUCAAACCAGACCGGGCUGAUAGUCUCCGGAUUAUAACUUGAUCCUGUAUUGACAACUUGUAAUUGAAAGUCAAGCCGGGUUGAUAAACACCGGUUUACUCCAUAAUAGGAUGGUAACAGAAAAUCAAACCGGGCAGAUGGCCCCCGGAUUAGGACUUGACCGUGUUCCGUCAAUUUGUAAUUGACAGUUGAACCGGAUUAAAACGUUGUCGGCUUAAAAAACGCAACAAAAAUCAAAUAACAGUUAUGCAAAAAAAAUAUGGAAGCAAAGGCAAUGAUAAGACCAUUUGCAAAAAGAGGCUUUACUGAGCCGAUCAGAUGGUGUUACCAUGGUCGGACACGACCAAGCUCCCAAUAAGGUGUAGCUAUGGUUCAAGUCAGCCAGGUCCCCAAAUGAUUCGUGGGAUAUAUGCCAGAUCAAGAGGCAUGGCAAUGGUUCGGGUUCGACCAAGCCCCCAAGUGAUUUUGUGGCCUUAGGCCGACCAAGAGGCGUGACUGGUUCAGACUUGACCAUGUCCCCAAGUGAUCUGGUGGCUGUCGCCUAUCAAAAGGUGUCGCGUUGGUUCGGACACAACCAAGGCCCCCAGUGAUGUUAUGGCACUAGGCCGAUCAAGAGGCGUGGCUAUGGUUCGGAUACGACCAAGACCCCAAGUGAUGUUGUGGCACUAGGCCGAUCAAGAGGCGUGGCUAUGGUUCGGAUACGACCAAACCCCCAAGUGAUCAAUAAUAUGAUAAGCCAAUAAGCCAUGAUACCCAUGUUUGGACCGCGCAUCAUGGCAGCAGGUCCUCUUUGGCACCCUUUAACUUUUUGCAAGAGAUAAAACCUUCUUGAACCGGGAUUUUGAACCGGAUAUUGAGAGCUUCAAGGAUUUGUGGGAGACAUCUUUCCCUUGAACCGGAUUGUAAACCGGAAUCUUCAUUGGCAGCCGGAAAUUUUCUGAUGGCCUUUCAACUCGAACUUGCGAGAAGUUAAUUCCUUUUUGAACCGGACAUUGUUAAACCGGAUUUGGGAGCUUCAGUGAGACUGGCUCCCCUUGAGCCGGAUUUUAAACCGGAAUCUUUUCUGACGACCCGGAACUUCUUCAUUGAGCCGGGAUUUUAUAAUUGUCAUAUACUUUCUAAACCGGAAAUUUUCUGACGGCCUUCAAAUAACAGUAGCCCCCGGGACCGGGUUAUCUUUCCCUCCAUUGUCCUGGGGUUUUUAAAUUUGCUGAAACUGGCAAGACUUGUUGCGUCAUAUCAUCGUAGCCCCCGAGUCUCAAGGUGACUCGAAGAGUUGGCUUGAGAUUCUCCAUAUUUGACCGUCAUAUAAACCGGCAUAACUUGUAUAUCAUUGGUGUUGAUAGCACGAUGUGAAUCCACAGAAGGUUGAGGUGACUGCGGCGGGUUAUAAAUGAUCCGGUAUGAGCCGUGUCAGCAACUCGGCCAAUGGUUCCUUCCAACUGGUGAUUUGAAGUUAACCAAACUGUAAUGGCGGUGACUUGUGCGCCUGCCCAGUGAACCACCCAGUGCAGAUAGCAGUUGAUAGUAUAUGAUAAUUUGCCUCUAUUUUGCUUGAAAGAAAACCGGGCUAUCCAAGCUGUGACUUGCUCAAAUUCAAUAAACAGCUCAUGCAGACAGGUGCGGCCCGGUGUGUUGAUGUAGACCAGGCCGCGAGAGACGGACAGUAAAGACGACCAUAGUAUUAGAGGCGGCACUUGCACAUAAUAAUAGUGGCGCGAGCUAUAUAUCCAAGGCACGGCCAUAUCUUUUGCAGUGAACAAUUGCUCCUGCAUAAAUAAUAUCGCAAGCCGGUGUAAUUACUCUUUUAAAGAAAGAAAUAUAUAAUAUAAAAAUAUACUGGAUUGAUUUCACCGGAUAUGUUGAGCCGGAAUUUAUCCGUCGCAGAGUUGAUGAUCACUGCGGUGAAGCUGAAAUCCAUGACGGGCGAGUCGGCCAUGGGAGCAGACCGAUGAAUCGGCUACGACAUUAUCAGUUGGCACGGCCGGGUGAGUCGAUCACAGGCGCAGACAGACGAGCCAGCCACGGCAUUNNNNNNNNNNNNNNNNNNNNNNNNNNNNNNNNNNNNNNNNNNNNNNNNNNNNNNNNNNNNNNNNNNNNNNNNNNNNNNNNNNNNNNNNNNNNNNNNNNNNNNNCGAUGUGUGUUCCGGUUCAUCAGCGUGAUAUGCGCAGAUGCCGGUGUAGAACAGCUAGCGCGCGCCGUCCGCGGUUGGGCAUCACUUUCAUAGUGAGCAAUUGUCCUGUGUAUAAAAGGAUAUAGGCCAGAGUAAUUGUUCUCACACAAAGUAUGUGUUGGUAAAAUACGUAGGAGGGGUAACACCUGAUUCACCCGGACAACCGAUAAAUCAACCAUGGCAUUGUAAGCCAGUGGAGACAGGGAGAGAUGGCACCAGCGUUGUAAGUCGGCGCGGACGGGCGAGUCGGCCGUUUUGUUGAUGUAAACCGGUCCGGACGGAUGCUGGUCGUAAGAUGGUGCUUUCGGGCGCUCCGUACCCGUGAUAUGAUGUCACAUUUAUAAUGAAUCCUUGCCCUACACGUUAAAAUAUACAUCCCAGAAUAUUGUUCUUGAUAGAAUAGAUAUGUUUACAAAAAUAGAUUAGACGGAUAUCACCUGAUUUAUUUUCCGGAUGAACGACGGAUACCAGCACUAGAUAACGUUCGACGUAUUCCGGUGCGGCCUAUGUAAACAAGACUAACAGACAGCCUCCGUAUCAAGUAUGCUGAUGAUUUCCUGUUCUGCACAAGGCGCGUGCAUGGUCGGAGUUGUUCAGCGUAGUGCUGCGCUGAUCAUCCCAACAGAGAAUUUAAUCCACUGUGUAGACACAGUAACACGUCGUGGCUGGUUUGUAGACCGAUAAAACGAGGCAGCAUGCGACGGGAAUCCUGGAAGACUGGCAACACGCGGCGGCUGUUCUGUUUUUCUUUCCUUCAGCCCGAGCCCGAUUAAGUGUCCACACCGGUAUACUGAUGUACUUGGCUUGGUCUUUUUCCUCCUUGAUUUGACCUGCCUUGGAUGACGUGCGUGUGUACGCCGGCUUGGUGGUACAUGCAUGCUUGGGACUCUGGGCGUACAUCUCCUUUACUUUUGUUUUGAUGUGGUCACCGAGACUUGCAGAUCGCAUCAUGGGAUUUUUUUUUUCAAAUCCGAAUCCUUGUAUUAGUUGCUUCUCGUCUCGUAGUAGGAAUUGGAGUAGCACUACUACUAGUCUGUACUGAUUGCUUUGGUCCUUACGCCUGAAGAGCAGCAGCAGGAAAGAUUCGCUGUGGGUUGAUGCGUGUGUGUACGGCCAGAGCAGAUGUACGAAUAUUGGAUAACUAUGCACGCAUGCGUUGACCGUCUUUGCUUGUUGGUGCGAUCGACAUGCAAUCUGACUGCGGUAUGAUGAAAAAUCAAACUGGUCUCGGCUGACUGCUUCGGUUUAGCGGUAGCCGAAAAAAUCUUGUUUGAUGUCGGCGAAACCUGCGGCCAGGCGGUUUAAACGGAUCUUGCUCCUUUCUGUUUUAUUGAUGGUGGCGUCUGCACCCGAUCCAACCCUAACUGGUUCUUGUCCAAGAUUAUCCCCUGGCGGGUUAUCCUCUGUGGUUGCUUCAUGCCGGCUCUUCUUCGUCCGGUCAAACGCAAACUUCUUGAUCCCUAAAGAGUUCCCUCCAAGAACUCAACACCACCGUGCGCGAGCCCCACGGUGGGGGCCAACUGUCGUGGAUUUGUCACGGCAGAUGUCCUUAGUGUCAGGACUUAGUCGCGAGGUCAACGCAUCUAUGUGGUAGCUUGAGAGGGGUUGAGCGGAAUCGAGAGACGCAACACAAGACAGGGAUUUAGACAGCUUCGGGCCCCGGGAAACAUCAUCCGGUAAAAACCCUACAUGCUGUUUGAGGCUAGGUCUCAUUAUCAUCACGAGGGAGUCGCCGUAAACCGGCUCUCCUCUUUGUGUCUAGCCCUAAGAUUGUUUCUUGUUGCUUGUAGCUUGUCCUUUCUAACCUGUCCCUCUUUGGGGAGCCCUGCCCCUCCUUAUAUAUGUUGAAGGGGCGGGUUACAUGUGGAGUCCUAUUAGGAUAAGGACUAAUCUAUCUCUAAUACAAACCGGAUACAAGUCCGGGUCUUCCUUGUAAGGUAAAUAUUCCUCCUGCCUUUCCUCUUAAACCGGCCCAUCAUAGUAUGAACCGGCCUUCUGGGCCAUGGGCCUCGUCAUCCAUCUGACCCGCCCGCCGGGUUACUGAUGAACCGCCAAGACCGGGCGGGUAGCCGGUGAAUCAUCCAGUCCUGGCCGGUUUAUACUCCCGGCCGAUUUACGCCACGGGGUAUAUCCCCGACACCGUGUGUGCUGAGUGUGUCAACAACGCGGUGGUUGGUGCAAUGCACAGCUGAGAACGUUAUCUUCACAACUGGGACCAUUCACCUGGUAUUUUGCGUCCAUCAAGCGAUUGAUUAUGAGAGGUUAUAUUACUACGGAAAUUGUACUGCUACAGGUAGUUCCUAAUUAGAAUGUCAUUUAGUACGGUUGUUGUGUAACAUGGAUCUAAGGUUAAGAUACAUCUAAGGAGCUUUGUGCUUGUAAUAAACAAUAGCCAUAUGCAUUAGUCAAUGUAGAAGGUGUGAUAUUAAUAUAUUUCCUUUUCUAAAAAAGAAAGAGCUUACAGUGCCGGUGUGUGCUGAGUGUGUCGAGGAAACAGCAACAGCGCGGUGGUUAGUGAUGCGAUGCACGGCUGAGGGAGCUCUCGCGCAGGCGGCUCGCUGCGUCCAAGGCUCCGACUACAGGAACGUGCCAAGUAGGGUUUGUAAAGCGACGCAAAAACGGCUACACGUCUCACCUGAACUUCAACCGUUUCUACAACCCCAAAGCCGAGGUUCCCAACUAUCCAUCGAUGCAAUUUGGUACUACUUCUCUCUUAGUUUACAGGGCGUGCGCGUACCCCUAGAUCCUCAAUUUGACUAACCUAAUACAAGUCAUAUAUUACAAAAAAUAUACCAACAUAAAAUUUGGAGUUUCUACUUUCAAAAGGUAUAAUUUUUGUGUUAUAUAGUUUACAUUAGGGUGAUAAAAUUGGCAACCUAGGUAUACGCGUAGGACUUGUAAACUGAAACGGAGGUAGUACUACAACUUUAUUUAAGCACUAAACAUUGGUUACAUUAUAUUUUUGGUUAUAGAAAUUGUUUUUCAUGCCAUAACAAAUAACAACCUAUUCCCAAUUUGUUUGUUAGAAUUCUUAUUAGGCAUUAUCAAUCCCUCGAAUAAAUUAAUGUACAAUAUAAACUUUAUUUCUUUUAAUUACCAAAGUGACAUCUAAAGUCUGGUUAUUAUUUUAUCGCGAAAUAAAUUUAAAAUGUGAUGAGCUUAUUUGCUAACUACUCUUAAGACUUAAGCAUGGUGCUAAACAAGUUCGUAACCCCAGGGGUGUUACAAUGAAUAUUCCUCAAUCGACACAAACAGGACGAGCAUCACUACUAGGACCAAACCUGUCAACUCCAAUCAACAAUAUACCAUGUACACAUCUUCCUAUCGGGUUUUAACUUCAUAGCUAACAUGUUUCGUUAAUAUAGUAGCAAGUAAAUUAAUAACUGAGUUACUCUAUCAUUCGCCGGUGACAACCAAAUCACCAAUUUUGUUUUCCUCCAAUAAACACGAGUGUGCGUACUAUAUAUUAAGAAAAGGAAUGGGGUGAAGAGCCCCUCCACGAUAUUGUUAUAUGAUUUUACAUGCAAAACAUCACCAGCUGAACACCCUACCCUCUAUUGCUAAGGUAACUUGCCGCACUAGCCCGCCGUUCCACUUGGUUGAAGAAGCCGUUAAGGUCUCCUUUUAAGUAAUCCCGUUUGUUUCAAAUUGUGCCCCUCCUCCGUGAUCCUAUGGAGUACAUACACUAGUAGAAAACAGGGCUUUGGUUGGGGCCUGGCCAGCCCAUUAGUCCCGGUUCAGUCACGAACCGGGACCCAUGGGGGCAUACGUCCCGGUUCGUGAGCCCAAGGAGCCGGCCGGGGCCUCGUGGGCAUUGGUCCCGGUUCGUCUGGACACAUUUGUCCCGGUUCCUGGUACGAACCGGGACCAAUGGGCCUCGCUCCUGGCCGACAUACGUUGAUCCCGGUUCGUGGCUCGAACCGGGACAGAAGGGGAGCUUUAGACCCGGUUCCAGCCACGAACCGGGACAAAUGAGUUGCCUAUAUAUACCCCAUCGCCGCAACAGAGCACUCUACAGUGCUCUGUUUUUUCUGGCCGGCGAGGAGAGGGCAUUUGGGUGCUCUAGCUCACCUCCGAUGCACAUGAGGUGUCCGAUGAAAUGCCCGAGUCGCACUAGUUAAGCUUUCUCCUCUCGAAGCUCGACCUCCAAGCUCCAUUUUCCCCGAGAUUUGCAUAGGUUUAGCGGUCCGUCACGUCCCGUCCCCGUUUUCACCGCCGUCGAUCGCCCGCGCCGAUCUCGUCGUCGGCACCACCGUGGUGAGCCUCUCGUUCUUAUCUUCUUUCUGAAAGAAAAGAAUUCUUAGUUUAGAUAGAUACUGUUCUAAUUUUUUUACUUUUAUUAUUGCUUGUUAUUAUAUAGUGCGAUGGUUUUGGUAUCCGCCCCCAUCGGCCCUUUUCCUGUCUAUGAUUCAGAUGUGGUAUAUAAUAUCUUUUUAUAACUAUUUUUUUCAUUUAUUGUUUAUGACAAUUAUGCCGACCUAUGUGACAUAGAUUUUAUUUAUGUAGGAGGUAGUUGAACCAGAAAUUCCAACCGACCGUAUUGUAGAGAGGUUAAAUUUAGUUGAAGAAGAAAACAAUUACUUGAAGGAAAAAAUAAAAAAAAUGAGGAGGAGAAGAUGAUAUUGGAGUUGCAUGUUGCGGAUGUAGUCGAUGAUCACAAGAUCAAGAUGGAUGCAAUGCGGUUGAAGAUUAGAAAGAUUAGAAAAUAUGCCAUUCAUACCGAGACUUGGUAUCAUUAUGCCAUUGGAUCAAUUUUUACCUUGGUUGCGAUUAUGAUCGUAUUUCUUGUUGCAUUGAAAGGUUUUACAUAGUUUUAAUGUAUGGUUUAACUAGAUGCUCGGGAGAGCUAUAUUUUGUUCAAUGAGAACUAUGUAUGUACUUUGUUUUUAAUGUGAUGAUGAACUUCUAUUACUUUGGUCACUUAUCUAUCCAUGUGAAUCUGUAAUGGUUUUUGACAAACAUAAUGUGAUGAUGAACUUCUAUUAAUUUGGUCACUUAUCUAUCCAUGUGACUUUGAAUGGUGCAUUUUGAACACAUAAAAUGUCUGGAGUUCAAAUAAGUUCAAAAAAAUGAAAUCCCUUUGUAGCAGAAGAGUUUUCGUCCGAAACCCUGAUACUUCAAAAGAGAUUGUCCAUUUUGUACACGAGAUGCAUCCAGUUUUUCCCGUCACCCUCUCAACUUUUUAGCACAUGCUUUGUGGGUGAAAUGAUGAUACCAUGCUAACUUUCAAGCUUUUUAGAGUUCAUUUGUAGUGCUUUUCAAUUUCAGGGUCAUUUAGCUCAAAAAAACAGUAAAUGCACGAAAAAUAACAAAUGAAGUCAAAAAGGGUUGAAAAUUGAUGAUGUGGCUUUGAAUGGUGCAUUUUGAACACACAAAAAGUCUAGAGUUCAAAUAAGUUCAAAAAAUGAAAUCCCUUUGUAACAUAUGAGUUUUCGUCCGAAACCUACUUCGAAAGAGAUUGCCCGUUUUGUACAUGAAGUGCAUCUAGUUUUCGCCGUAACCCUCUCAACUUUUUAGCACAUGCUAUGCGGGUGAAAUGAUGAUACCAUGCCAACUUUCAACCUUUUCAGAGUUCGUUUGUAGUGAUUUUCAAUUUCAGGGUCAUUUAGUGCAAAAGAAUGAACUAAUAGCAAAAAUAAUGAACUUAAAAUAAUCAAUUAAAAUAUUAUGUUAUGAUCAACUAAAACAAAACUAUAAUAUUCUUCAAUAGCAAAAACAAUCAACUAAAAAGUUUUUAUAAAACUCUAAUAGCAAAAGGAAUCAACUAAAAAGCUUUUGUAAACCUCUAGUAUUUUUUAAACUAAAAUUAUGUAAAACUUAUGCAACUAAAAGCAUGAAAGAAUUAUGAAAACAUGAAAAGCAGAAAGAAUUAUCAUAAAGAUUUUUUUGUUAGAAACUUUAGUAGCAAAAAUAAUUUUCAUAAAGAAUUUUUUUGAUACAAACUAAAAUACAAAAUCAGUUUUUUAAUAUAUUGAUAAAACGCAGUAAUAUUAAAUAGCAGGAAAAAGAAUCACUCAAAAUAUAUUUUUAUAGUGAAGUUAUUUACAAACUAGUGAUUCACACAAAUUUCAAAGAAUUCUAAUUUGGAAACUAAUGGCACUAACAGAAAGUUUAUAAUUAUUCUGACCUAAAAGAAAAAAAAUAAAAAAAUAAAGUGAAAAUUAAAAGAAAAUAAAUAAUUCAAAAAAACAAAAAAAAUACUGGAANNNNNNNNNNNNNNNNNNNNNNNNNNNNNNNNNNNNNNNNNNNNNNNNNNNNNNNNNNNNNNNNNNNNNNNNNNNNNNNNNNNNNNNNNNNNNNNNNNNNNNNNNNNNNNNNNNNNNNNNNNNNNNNNNNNNNNNNNNNNNNNNNNNNNNNNNNNNNNNNNNNNNNNNNNNNNNNNNNNNNNNNNNNNNNNNNNNNNNNNNNNNNNNNNNNNNNNNNNNNNNNNNNNNNNNNNNNNNNNNNNNNNNNNNNNNNNNNNNNNNNNNNNNNNNNNNNNNNNNNNNNNNNNNNNNNNNNNNNNNNNNNNNNNNNNNNNNNNNNNNNNNNNNNNNNNNNNNNNNNNGAAACUUUAGUAGCAAAAAUAAUUUUCAUAAAGAAUUUUUUUGAUACAAACUAAAAUACAAAAUCAGUUUUUUAAUAUAUUGAUAAAACGCAGUAAUAUUAAAUAGCAGGAAAAAGAAUCACUCAAAAUAUAUUUUUAUAGUGAAGUUAUUUACAAACUAGUGAUUAACACAAAUUUCAAAGAAUUCUAAUUUGGAAACUAAUGGCACUAACAGAAAGUUUAUAAUUAUUCUGACCUAAAAGAAAAAAAAUAAAAAAAUAAAGUGAAAAUUAAAAGAAAAUAAAUAAUUCAAAAAAACAAAAAAAAUACUGGAAAAAAAUUAAAAAAAUGCCGCCUACUGGGCCACACGGCCUCCAUACGACUAGAAACUCAUUUGUACAAGGACCAGGAUGCAGGCCCGCAGGCCCAAUAGGCGCAACAUGGCAGUGACAAGGGUAGGCAAGUACUGCCUGCAUAUUAGAGAGGAGCUCAGCACCUGAGCCGCAACGCAGCUUAUAAACAGGUGCUGAGCUCUCUCAGCUAGCGAGGUGGGACUAAACUCCCACCACACCACCGCUGUGACAGCCUCUGGUCCCGGUUGGUGGGACGAACCGGUACGAAUACCCCCCUUUGGUCCUGGUUCGUAGCACCAACCGGGACCAAUACCCCCCUUUGGUCCCGGUUCGUGCCACCAACCGGGACCAAAGGUCUCUUUUCAGCAUGUCAAAAAGGUCUUUUUGUUCAUAUAUAGAAAGUUUUUAUAUAUGACUAUGGAUAUAUGAGCAAGUAUGAUCCAUGGAUUUAUGCAUUGAUAUAUAUAUAUAUAUAUAUAUAUAUGUGUGAGAAAUGAUGUUCAUAGAAUAUUUACCAAGUAUAUAUGUAUUUUUUCAUAUAUGCAUUUUUUUCAUAGCAUUUUUUCUAUUUAUAUAUGUGUGUGGCUAUAGAUGGAUAUAUAUAUAUAUAUAUAUAUGAGAAAUGAUGAUCCAUGGAUGUAUGUAUGUAUGUGGAUACAUGAGGGGGGGGCGGUCGAUAUACCCCCUCUCCGAUAACAUUUCCUUCUUCAUAUGUUGAUUUAGUUGAUUUAGGUUAGUGCAUUUUAGGUUAGUUGAUUUAUAGUGCAUUAUAGUUGAAAAAGAAGAAGAAGGAAAAUAAGAAAAAAAAAUAAGAAGAGGAAGAAGGAGAAGAAGAAAGGAGAAGAAGAGGAGAGGAGAAAAAAACAAGAAGAGAAAAAAAAAA